RNAcentral lists this ribosomal RNA (252 nucleotides) under uncultured bacterium. RNAcentral's name for it is "partial 16S ribosomal RNA". It matches the Rfam family "Bacterial small subunit ribosomal RNA", at positions 524 to 776 of the family's 1533-position model. The record is from RNAcentral.
UACGAAGGGGGCUAGCGUUGCUCGGAAUUACUGGGCGUAAAGCGCAUGUAGGCGGCUCUUUAAGUCGGGGGUGAAAUCCUGGAGCUCAACUCCAGAACUGCCUUCGAUACUGAAGAGCUUGAGUCCGGGAGAGGUGAGUGGAACUGCGAGUGUAGAGGUGAAAUUCGUAGAUAUUCGCAAGAACACCAGUGGCGAAGGCGGCUCACUGGCCCGGUACUGACGCUGAGGUGCGAAAGCGUGGGAGCAAACAGG